RNAcentral lists this ribosomal RNA (252 nucleotides) under uncultured bacterium. RNAcentral describes it as "partial 16S ribosomal RNA". It matches the Rfam family "Bacterial small subunit ribosomal RNA", at positions 524 to 776 of the family's 1533-position model. The record is from RNAcentral.
UACGUGGGGGGCUAGCGUUGUCCGGAAUCACUGGGCGUAAAGGGUUCGCAGGCGGCUUGUCAAGUCAGAUGUUAAAGGCAUAGGCUUAACCUGUGUAAGCAUUUGAAACUGGCAAGCUUGAGUGGUGGAAAGGUAAGUGGAAUUCCUAGUGUAGCGGUGAAAUGCGUAGAUAUUAGGAAGAAUACCGGUGGCGAAGGCGACUUACUGGACACACACUGACGCUGAGGAACGAAAGCGUGGGUAGCAAACAGG